GGUGCCAUAGCUCAGUUGGUAGAGCAAAGGACUGAAAAUCCUUGUGUCGCUGGUUCGAACCCAGCUGGCACCA
This 73-nucleotide transfer RNA is filed under the name Sphingobacterium arenae. RNAcentral describes it as "tRNA-Phe". It matches the Rfam family "tRNA". Rfam says of the family: Transfer RNA (tRNA) molecules are approximately 80 nucleotides in length. The record is from RNAcentral. Lineage: Bacteria; Pseudomonadati; Bacteroidota; Sphingobacteriia; Sphingobacteriales; Sphingobacteriaceae. RNAcentral also lists the same sequence under 1 other name.